GACGAACGCUGGCGGCGUGCUUAACACAUGCAAGUCGAACGGAAAGGCCCUGCUUUUGUGGGGUGCUCGAGUGGCGAACGGGUGAGUAACACGUGAGUAACCUGCCCUUGACUUUGGGAUAACUUCAGGAAACUGGGGCUAAUACCGGAUAGGAGCUCCUGCUGCAUGGUGGGGGUUGGAAAGUUUCGGCGGUUGGGGAUGGACUCGCGGCUUAUCAGCUUGUUGGGGGGGUAGUUGCUUACCAAGGCUUUGACGGGUAGCCGGCCUGAGAGGGUGACCGGCCACAUUGGGACUGAGAUACGGCCCAGAAUCCUACGGGAGGCAGCAGUGGGGAAUAUUGCACAAUGGGCGGAAGCCUGAUGCGACAACGCCGCGUGCGGGAUGACGGCCUUCGGGUUGUAAACCGCUUUCGCCUGUGACGAAGCGUGAGUGACGGUAAUGGGUAAAGAAGCACCGGCUAACUACGUG
This 468-nucleotide ribosomal RNA is filed under the name uncultured bacterium. RNAcentral describes it as "partial 16S ribosomal RNA". It matches the Rfam family "Bacterial small subunit ribosomal RNA", at positions 28 to 507 of the family's 1533-position model. The record is from RNAcentral.